This 351-nucleotide unclassified non-coding RNA is filed under the name soil metagenome. RNAcentral's name for it is "partial contains 5.8S ribosomal RNA, internal transcribed spacer 2, and large subunit ribosomal RNA". The stretch from base 1 to 120 matches the Rfam family "5.8S ribosomal RNA", at positions 35 to 154 of the family's 154-position model. The record is from RNAcentral.
GAUGAAGAACGCAGCGAAAUGCGAUAAGUAAUGUGAAUUGCAGAAUUCAGUGAAUCAUCGAAUCUUUGAACGCACAUUGCGCCCGCCAGUAUUCUGGCGGGCAUGCCUGUUCGAGCGUCAUUACAACCCUCAGGCCCCCGGGCCUGGCGUUGGGGAUCGGCGGAGCCCCCCGUGGGCACACGCCGUCCCCCAAAUACAGUGGCGGUCCCGCCGCAGCUUCCAUCGCGUAGUAGCUAACACCUCGCGACUGGAGAGCGGCGCGGCCACGCCGUAAAACACCCAACUCUUCUGAAGUUGACCUCGGAUCAGGUAGGAAUACCCGCUGAACUUAAGCAUAUCAUAAGCGGAGGA